This 948-nucleotide ribosomal RNA is filed under the name Triticum aestivum (bread wheat). RNAcentral's name for it is "partial small subunit ribosomal RNA". The record is from RNAcentral. Lineage: Eukaryota; Viridiplantae; Streptophyta; Magnoliopsida; Poales; Poaceae.
AUGCACGAGGCACGCCCUUUAGCCAUCCGCAAAUAUAUGGCAACUCAAGGCUAUAAGAGUCUUGAUAAGAAAGCUGGUAGGAGACUCCGUCUUGAGAAGGACAAGUACAUGCAGGUUACUCCGAGAUGGUGCGUCGAUAAGGGGGAGUGUUGGGAGCGGAUCGUGGACUAUUGGUGUUCCAAAGAGUACAGGGCGAAAAACAAAGACUAUAGAAAUCGGCGAGCCGGAAUGCUGGAUCCACUACAUCAUCAAGGCAACUUGAAUGUUAUGGAGUAUGGUGAACGUUGGGCGUCUCACCAUAAUGCUCCAGUGCCCAACCUUUUUGUCUCGUAUGCUUUGGCCCAUAAGGCACCGUACAGAACAGCCACGCCUUACGAUGCGAAUGACACAGCGUCCGCGUACUCCAGCAAGACCGCCUAUGAUCGGAUGGAGAAAUUUAAAGGGGUGGCAAAAGAGUUGAAAGGGCCCGAGUAUGAUGUGACAACAGAGCCUCUUGACCACGCUUUGGUCAUGAUCUCUGGAGAAGGCAGGAAACAUGGCAAGGAAGCAAUUGCAGGAGGCAUGUUCCCUAGCUCCUCCCGUAGCUCUCUCCCUGAAUACAAAGCUCGGUUACGUAUCUCAAAAUCUUCUACAUAUAAACGCUCGACUCCAGCUAUGGUUGAGAUGGAGGCCCGACUGGCGAGGCGAGUGGCGACAGAGGAGAGGGAGGAGGAGAGGCGAGUGGCAGCGGAGGAGAGGCGACUGGCUGAUGAGAGGAUGCAGCAAGCGGUGCAGCAGGCGGUGUUGGCACAAACUAGUCAAUGCUUUGCAAUGUUUGCGGCUUAUUGUACCCAGAAUGGUAUGCCCGCUAUGCAGAUGCCUCAAUCAGGCCAUGGAUCUAAUGCUGAUGGAUCUUCACAUGCACGAGGCCCAAGCGACAACAACCUUGGUGGUUCUCCGAAUGUUUGA